This 216-nucleotide ribosomal RNA is filed under the name Glomeromycotina sp. RNAcentral describes it as "partial small subunit ribosomal RNA". The stretch from base 40 to 216 matches the Rfam family "Eukaryotic small subunit ribosomal RNA", at positions 686 to 864 of the family's 1831-position model. The record is from RNAcentral. Lineage: Eukaryota; Fungi; Glomeromycota.
GGGUCAGUAGGUUGGUCGUGCCACCGGUACGUACUGGUCUCACUGAUUCCUCCUUCCUGAAGAACCGUAAUGCCAUUAAUUUGGUGGUGCGGGGAAACAGGACUGUUACUUUGAAAAAAUUAGAGUGUUUAAAGCAAACUAACGCUUGAAUACAUUAGCAUGGAAUAAUGAAAUAGGACGAUCGAUCCUAUUUUGUUGGUUUCUAGGAUUGACGUA